Molecule: ribosomal RNA, 254 nt
Filed under: uncultured bacterium
Lineage: Bacteria
Description: partial 16S ribosomal RNA
Rfam family: Bacterial small subunit ribosomal RNA
Source: RNAcentral
CACGUAGGGUGCGAGCGUUGUCCGGAAUUAUUGGGCGUAAAGAGCUCGUAGGCGGUGUGUCGCGUCGGCCGUGAAAACCUGUAGCUUAACUGUGGGCUUGCGGUCGAUACGGGCAUCACUGGAGUUCGGCAGGGGAGACUGGAAUUCCUGGUGUAGCGGUGAAAUGCGCAGAUAUCAGGAGGAACACCGGUGGCGAAGGCGGGACUCUGGGCCGAUACUGACGCUGAGGAGCGAAAGCGUGGGGAGCGAACAGG